Molecule: transfer RNA, 94 nt
Filed under: Ceratobasidium sp. AG-Ba
Lineage: Eukaryota; Fungi; Basidiomycota; Agaricomycetes; Cantharellales; Ceratobasidiaceae
Rfam family: tRNA
About the family: Transfer RNA (tRNA) molecules are approximately 80 nucleotides in length. Their secondary structure includes four short double-helical elements and three loops (D, anti-codon, and T loops). Further hydrogen bonds mediate the characteristic L-shaped molecular structure. tRNAs have two regions of fundamental functional importance: the anti-codon, which is responsible for specific mRNA codon recognition, and the 3' end, to which the tRNAs corresponding amino acid is attached (by aminoacyl-tRNA synthetases). tRNAs cope with the degeneracy of the genetic code in two manners: having more than one tRNA (with a specific anti-codon) for a particular amino acid; and 'wobble' base-pairing, i.e. permitting non-standard base-pairing at the 3rd anti-codon position.
Source: Rfam by way of RNAcentral
AGCGGUAUAGUGAAGUGGUUAACACGGGAGGUUUAAGUCUUGUACAAAUUUCUCCUGCCGAAAGGCGUCGUGGGUUCGAACCCCACUGCCGCUA